AGAAUGAACGUUGGCGGCGUGGAUUAGGCAUGCAAGUCGAGCGAGAACCCGCAAGGGGGACAGCGGCGAACGGGGUAGGACAACGUAGGUAACGUACCCUCGGGGCGAGGACAGCCACGGGAAACUGUGGGUAAUACUCGAUAAUCUUCCCAAUCAUUAUCGGAGGGGAAGCAAUGGGUGUGAUUCCACCUGAGGAGCGGCUUACGCAGUAUCAGCUAGUUGGUGAGUAACGGCUCACCAAGGCUAUGACGCUUAGGGGAUGUGAGAGCAUGAUCCCCCACACUGGACACUGAGACACUGGACCCAGACCACCGUACGGGUCGGCUGACAGGUCCGAAGAACUUCUUCGGACAAAUGGACGCUAAGUCCUAGACCGAGCGAACGUCCGACGUGCGGGUA
RNAcentral lists this ribosomal RNA (399 nucleotides) under uncultured soil bacterium. Its description in RNAcentral is "bacterial SSU rRNA". It matches the Rfam family "Bacterial small subunit ribosomal RNA", at positions 26 to 409 of the family's 1533-position model. The record is from RNAcentral.